UACGAGGGGGGCAAGCGUUGUUCGGAAUCACUGGGCGUAAAGGGAGCGUAGGCGGCUGUUUAAGUUGGAUGUUUAAAACCGGGGCCUAACCUCGGAGCGGCAUCCGAAACUGGGCAUCUUGAAUAGGUCAGAGGCUGGUGGAAUUGGAGGUGUAGCGGUGGAAUGCGCAGAGAUCUCCAAGAACACCUAUUGCGAAGGCAGCCAGCUGGGACAAUAUUGACGCUGAGGCUCGAAAGCAUGGGGAGCAAACAGG
RNAcentral lists this ribosomal RNA (253 nucleotides) under uncultured bacterium. Its description in RNAcentral is "partial 16S ribosomal RNA". It matches the Rfam family "Bacterial small subunit ribosomal RNA", at positions 524 to 776 of the family's 1533-position model. The record is from RNAcentral.